UUAUUUCAGUGUACAUAAUAACAAAAUAACUGGAACAAUACCUGAGGGAAUAGGAGAUUUGGUUAAUUUAGAGUAUCUAUCAAUGGGUGAAAAUCUUCUUGAGGGCAGUAUUCCCACGUCCAUUAGCAAAAUCAAUAAGUUGGGUCGACUGUACCUACAAAAUAACAAACUUUCAGGAUUCAUCCCACCAUCUCUUGGCAAUCUUACAAAUUUAGAAGUAGUUGCACUACAAGGCAAUGCAUUUGGUGGUGUCAUACCUUCCACUCUCAGCAGCUGUCCUCUAGAACAGUUGGAUCUUUCAUACAACAUUCUUAAAGGUAGGAUACCUAAAGAACUUUUCCUAAUACCAACCUUGUCUGUCUCCAUGCGUAUCAGUCAUAACUUAUUAAGUGGGCCAUUGCCUUCUGAGUUGGGUAAUCUACAAAACGUAGCAGCACUUGAUUUUUCUGAUAACAGGAUUUCAGGAGAGAUUCCUUCAUCCAUUGGUGGGUGUCAAAUCUUAGAGUAUCUCAAUAUAUCUGGGAAUGGUCUUCAAGGAGAAAUUCCAUCAUCAUUAGAAAAACUGAAUGGCCUCUUGGUGCUUGACCUUUCCCACAAUAAUUUAUCCGGGGCUAUCCCUGAAUUUCUUGGGACUUUGAGAGCUCUUUCUUCUUUGAAUCUCUCAUUCAACAAAUUUGAAGGGCAAGUUCCGCAAGAUGGGAUAUUUCUCAAUGCAACUGCGAUCUCGAUCAUUGGGGAUGAUGGCCUUUGUGGUGGUAUCCCUGAAUUGAAGUUGCCAGCUUGCACCCAAAACAUCUUCAACAAGUCAUCUUCUAAGCUUAUCAAGAUAGUUUCCAUAAGCAGUGCCAUUGUACUCAUCACACUGGUUUCUGCACUGUUCACAUUCUACCAGAGGAAAAAGGUUACAGAAGCAAAACUGCAAGCCUCACUCCAGCAAUAUAUGAGGGUUUCUUAUGGAGAAUUAGUAAGGGUAACAAAUGGUUUUGCUUCUGAGAACAUUAUCGGAGCAGGAAGCUUUGGCUCAGUUUACAAGGGUAUAAUGAUAAGCACUGACCAACAAGAAGUUGUCGCUGUUAAGGUCCUCAAUCUCUCACAACGUGGUGCAUCUCAAAGUUUUAUUGCAGAAUGUGAGACUUUGAGAAGCAUUCGGCAUCGGAACCUAGUGAAGCUAUUGACAGUUUGUUCAAGCACAGAUCAUCAGGGUCAUGAAUUCAAGGCCAUCGUAUAUGAAUUCCUACCAAAUGGAAAUUUGGACCAAUGGUUACACCAGAAUUUCCGAGAAGACGAAGAACGCAAGGCACUAGAUCUUAGUUCGAGACUGCAGAUUGCAAUUGAUGUAGCAUCCUCACUUGAAUAUCUCCACCAACACAAGCCUUUUCCAAUCGUUCACUGUGAUCUUAAGCCAAGUAACGUUCUCCUAGAUACUGACAUGGUCGCUCAUGUCAGUGAUUUUGGCCUAGCAAGGUUUCUACAUCAAGACUUGCAGCAGUCAAAUAGUUGGGUAACAAUGAGAGGAACAAUUGGUUAUGCUGCUCCAGGUGUGAGUCUCUAUAUAUGAAUCUUUAUUCUUUUCUACAUAUUCGACCACACUGGUUUCAAUCAAAUUAUGAAGAUGCUUUCUUGUUAUUUCAUUACUUAGAUAUACACAUUUUCAUGAAGUGAUUUUUUAUGUACAAUAAAGAAGAACUAUAUUACAUUUUCCAUUUAAAUAUUGUGGAUGUCAUGAACAUGGACAAUUUCACAGAAAUCACCAGUUGCACCUACUCAUCCUUGUGCCUAUAUUUUAUUCACAUCUUUUCUAUUGAUUUCAGAGUAUGGACUGGGUAAUGAAGUAUCAAUCCAUGGUGAUGUUUAUAGCUAUGGCAUACUGUUAUUGGAGAUGUUCACAGGAAAAAGACCAACGGACAGCAAAUUUGGAGAAGACCUUGGCCUUCGGAAGUACGUCCAGAUGGCACUGCCAGAAAGUGUGGCUAACAUCGUAGACCAAAACUUACUGCAAGAUGCAUGGGACUGCAAUGCAAGAAGCACAACCUCUUGCAGCAAUAAGGACACGGAAAAUUCUUGCAUUGCCUCGACUCUGCGCAUUGGGAUUUCAUGUUCGGCGGAAAUGCCAGCAGACCGUCCAAGGAUUCGAGAUGCUCUCAAGGAGUUGGAGUCAAUCAGAGACAAGCUUCACAAGGACUUGCUCCUAGAAGGAGCGUCAAGGUCUUAAAUUCAUGGAGGCCAUUGAAACAUUACAAUCAGCAAGGCCCAUAAGGCACAAGGCAUUGCAAGGUGCGAAUUUCUGCAGCCCCCCGCCAUUCAGAGGGCUCCAUCUUGUUCCUCACAAAACUAUAGUUCUGUCGAGUAAAAGGGAAUGUUUAGUUGCAACUUGAAUCCAUUAUCUUUCCCCGCCUUUUUUUUUCAAAAACAGAUAAUCACCUCAUCACCCACAACUUGCUGGUGCUUCCAUCCACAGUAACAGCGCCACAGCCUUUUUUUUUAUGAUUUCUUUUUUUCCGUAACGAAUUCAUUUCCCAUACUGUUGCUGCUGCUACAAGUCUACGACUAAGGCAAAUCAACUAUUUCCCAUGUAACAAGCAGUAAUCACAGAGACGCCUACGAGACAAAGAGGUGAGGAGCUCACCUCCAACGCGGAGCCAAUGACGAUGGCGAAGCAGCAAGCGAGGUUGCCGCCCGCUCCAGCUACGGGGCCAGAUCUCGCGCUAGCGACGAGUCGACUGCGCUGGGAGUCCUAUACCCAGACCGGCGCGGGCGCUCGCUCCAUGGAGGAAUCCGAGGUCUAGCCAGCGGCCUGGGACGGGAAGGGGCGGUCGCCGGCGGCCGGAGAAGGAACGGGAAGCAGCGCAAGCAAAAGCGGGCUGGCCUUCUAAUACGGCUUAUUGGGCCUUACGUGAUGGGCCGUGUAAAUGAUUGGCAAAUCUCAGGAAUAAAGACCCGACAGAAAAACCGGAAAUCCUAUCCAUCUUCCGGAGAAUUGAGGGAUCAUAUGUUAGCCUACUGAACUGUUGGUUACUGUCAGUGACAAAAGCUUCUCUGUCAGAUAAGUUGAUAGUUGAUGGUUUGGACAGUUUGGCUGAUCAAUUGAGAGAUGAAGAUUGAAGACCAAGGUGAUGCUGUGGUGUUCAAGACCGAAGAGAAGGCACUCUGAGGGGCUGAGAAGACAGCCCCAGAGGUUGAGAAGACCAUAGGUAAAAAUAAUUCCAGUGAGGACAAAUAUGUACAUGGUGAUGAGUUUUGGAAGAAGACGCUGCUGGAGACACCCUCAGGCUUCGCCCUGUUUGAAGUUAACGAAGUUGCACUCAAAGAACCUGAUGUACUCGUCUGUUUCUCUUUCUUUCCUACACAAGCUUCUUCGCCGUUUUGCCUUUUUCUUUUGGACCUUGCAACUAGUGAUGAAUCUCCACAUGGUUUGUCAUUUCCCCUGGCAGGAUAUCUGGGUGUACUUUAGGGAUGUGACUACUGCAGAAAAGGUACAAUCUGGAUAGCUCUGUUUGCAGCAGAACACUGCCUUUAUUUUCACUUUCC
This 3528-nucleotide long non-coding RNA is filed under the name Setaria italica (foxtail millet). RNAcentral describes it as "long non-coding RNA (SITA_LNC004821)". The record is from RNAcentral. Lineage: Eukaryota; Viridiplantae; Streptophyta; Magnoliopsida; Poales; Poaceae.